GUGGAGAAUAUUAAAGUACACAAAAUAUGAAAUGAUGAACAAAGCAUUAGAGGCAUUUGGUGAUCUUGGUGAUGACGAGGAACUAGGACCUGUUGACUGGCCUACAGUUAAAAAAUAUAUUGCAAGUCUAACUGAUGUAGAGGGAGAGCAAGUCCAUCCUCAUACACAGUCCCAGACUGAUGAUAAGCUAGAUUCUAUGAAUCUUAAGGAUAUACGCAUACGUUUCUUGAAUGGUUAGAUUCCUUCUUACUUUUUUCCUUUUGUCUAUGUUUGUGUAAUAUUAUUAAUUAAGUGCCUUCUUUUAAAACCUCGAGUUUUUGAAAGAUAGCCAUCCAACAGAGAGGUAAAAAUUAAAACUCCGGUUUUCCCCAUCUUGUUUGCCACUAUGUAUUGAAUUCAAGUUUUGGAACUCUUCAGGACAGAGGUUAGGUGUGUCGGGUGGUGUCACACCCCCAAACUUUGGAACUUUUAUAAAAUUAGUCUUAUAAAUUGUCUUAGUUUCUUAUUAUUGUAAAUAAAACCUGAAAUUUACUAUCUCCCCCUCCCAAAAUUUGUAUAAAUGUGAAUUAUAUUUGAACAUCUUGAUAAAAUGGAUUGGCACAAAAAAUUAUGAAAUUAAAAUAACAUGUAAAACACAUUCUUCUACUUUUCGAGUUUUAUAUAUUCAUAAAUAAUAUAUACUCCCUCUGUCCCCCUAGGUAGUUUACCUUGAGGGACGAGAGUUUGGCACGCAUUUUGAUGCUUCUAGAAAACAUAGUUUUGUAACUUAUUUUUUAUAUUUUUUUUUCUUUUGAAUGAAAAUUUAAUGUUUGAAUUUUUAUACACAAAAGAAAAUCUCAAAAAUAAAUUACGGAACUAUGUUUUAUAAGAGCCUUAAAAUGCGUGUCGAGCGGUGAAAAAAAACUAUAAAGAAAUGAGAGGGACGGAGGGAGUAGUACAAUUUUAAAAUUUAUAAUAUCGAUAUGGCCCUCCCUCUCAAUGUUAUUAUUGACUCAUCCGUGCUACCCUUGUCCGCUCCUUUCCGAAGUAGUUUUUCAAGUGAGGAGCUUAAAAAACUCCAAUCCAACUCUAAGGAACACACUUUACUAAUUUUAGAGCAUUAUAAUGUACAAGUGCUCUCCAAUUCAACUUUAAAACUAGCAUCAUUUUGGUGCAAGUAAAUAGUGUUACACCAAAUUUGGCAAUACUAUUCAUUUAGGGUAGUUUUUACAUCAAGUUUUAGGUUUUUAAAAUUUCAAUUAUACCGUAGUACUCAUUAAUUGCAAUUAAUUCAAGCUGAUGAUGUCUUAACAAGAUUAUUUCUUUUCUUAAUAGAUUUGUAAUUGCUUAUGUAAUUAGUAUAAACUAAUCUAUAAUCCUAUUGGUUUUAUAAAAUAAAUUGAUUUAUAGCGAAUUAGUUUUAAUAAAUUGUAGGCCUUACCAUUAGUAAUAUUUCUCAGAUGUUGUGCCAUUUUGGUAUAUGGGAAUAGUGGAACUCUUACCCAAAAUAGUGAAUUUUUUAUUAUAAGCCGAGGCACAGAAGGUACUAAAUUGUUGUGUUUAUGUAUCAGUAUGCUCUCUCUUCACACUGGCAAAGGACACUUUUUAUCAAAUGUUAGUUUUGAAAAAAUUUAAAGGGUAUAUUGAAUAUUGCAUUACAAGGAAACCAAGGGAUAUCAUUCUUUUGUGAUAUGUAUAUACUUAUGCUGUCUUCUAUACUUCAUAAUCACAAUAAUACAGUGAAACAUAUUAAUCUGUGAAGUUUUUAUGUACAAUUUCGAAAAAGUGUUAAAAUAAAUGUGUGCAUGGGAGUAAUGGUAUUCUAUACAAUAUAUCUCUGUUUUUUGUUUGGCGUCUAGCCUAUAGUGCAAGGCAAGCAAGGAAUAUGUAUGUUGUAAGGACACAUGGUUUAUUCAGCUCACUUUUUUUUUUAAUUCUCAUGACUCGUUUUGUUUCUGAUAUGAAGACCCUUUCAAUAUAGGUGUGCAAGCUGCUUAUUGGGGUAUGCUAGAAGAGGGAAGAAUAACACAAACUAUAGCAAAUCUUAUGAUGCAAUCUGUUGAUGAAGCAUUGGACUUGGUAUCCCAAGAGCCUCUAUGUGACUGGAAAGGAUUGAAGGCAAAUGUACAUUUUCCAUCCUAUUACAAGUUUCUCCAGACAGGAUUGUUCCCGCAGAAACUUGUUACGUAUUUCACUGCUGAAAGAUUAGAAUCAGCAUGCUACAUUUGUGCUGCGUUUCUACGCGCCCACAGAAUUGCACGUCGGCAGCUACAUGAAUUUAUUGGUAAAAUCUUUAUACAAGGGUCUGUAAAUGCUUUUGUUAUUUGCAAUUUCUUACCUAUAUUUAUAUUUCAUACCUGUAUUGAUAUUUAUGAAUUCAUUUCUCAACCUUCAAUUUUUUCCUGCUCCUAAUAUUUCGCAGAAAAACAUACUUUAUACAGUUUUAUUUGGAGAAACAUAUCCUGAUUUCUGAGUUUUAAAAAUCAGUAUGACACUUUUACUAUAUAUUCAAUUUUUUCCCAUUCUAAACUGCAAAUUUCUGCACUGACCAACAUACCAUGUGUUCCAAACUAGUUUAGUUUAAACUAUGUAAGUAUUCAAACUCAGAUAAAUAUUUGUUGUCUUUCUGAUGAUUUAAUUAAAUAAUAUCCAUAUACUUUGUGAGAAACACAUUUAAUAAUUACUGUAUUGAUAAAGUAUUCCUGCUGAAAUUAUAUUUUCUUUAACUAACUUGACAUCAAAUUUUUUCUGUCGUCUAUCUGUUAGGUGAUAGUGAAGUUGCAUCUAGUGUUAUUGGUGAAAGUGAGAUAGAAGGAGAGGACGCGAAGCAAUUCCUUGAGGACGUUCGUGUAGCUUUCCCUCAGGUUCUUUGGAGUAACACUAUCUUUGAUUGCUUUGCUGAUUAAUAUUUUGAUUAUUCAUUUCCAUGACAUAAUACUUGGGCUGAAUUAUGUGCACAGCAAGUCAGCAACAUAUUAUGCUUAAGGGUAGCUUUGAUUUUAUCUCUACCUUUUGAGGGCGGGGAGGAUUUUUAAAUUUUAAUGUAUAUUGCAUUUCAGGUUCUGCGUGUAUUGAAAACAAGACAGGUUACAUAUUCUGUAUUAAAUCAUUUAAUUGAUUAUGUGCAAAAUCUUGAGAAGGUUGGAUUGCUAGAGAAAAAGGAGAUGGUUCAUCUUCAUGAUGCUGUACAGGUAUUCUUUAGAAGUGAAACUUUUUUCCAACAAGGAUACAUACUAUGUUGGUCUGCUUGUCCAUGUUAAUGAUUUCACCUUAUAUGUUUUCAUACUUUUCCUUGCUGACAUGUCAAUUCCACCCUAGAUGGACUUGAAGAAGCUCUUAAGAAAUCCUCCUCUAGUUAAGAUUCCUAAAGCACGUGACCUAGUCAGUCUUAACCCUUUCUUGGGCGCUCUUCCUCCCACAACUCGUGAGUUACUUGUAGGUUCAACUAAAGAGUCAAUGAAAGUACGCGGUACAACACUUUACAAGGAGGGAUCCCAGCCAAAUGGCAUCUGGGUUAUUUCGAAUGGUGUAGUGAAGGUAAAAGCAUUAUUUACAUUGAUUUCAUGAUGAGAGCUACCAAAAUCUAUCAUGUUCUACCUGAUGUUUUUACUAGCACCAUCACCGUGUUAAGAAAGAAUCUUUUCUUGUGGCAGUGGGCGAGCAAGACUAUAAAAACUAAGCACUCUUUGCAUCCAACAUUUACACAUGGAAGUUCACUGGGACUGUAUGAGGUGUUGAAUGAAAAGUCUUACAUCUGUGAUAUGAUAACAGACUCUGUGGUUCUCUGUUUCUUUAUUGAAGCAGAAAAGAUACGUAUGCUUCUCAGAUCAGAUCCAGCAAUAGUGGAUUUCUUGUGGCAGGUUUGUUCAUUACUCAAAAGUCUCAACAUAUUUGUAUGAAUGUAGAUUAGUUCGGCAUCAAGUCUUUUGAACUUGGCUAUAAGGUCAUAUUAAAAGCUUAGUAAUCUGUAGAAUGUAGAGCUAUAAGUAGCAGCUUUGGAUUUUUUUAUUGUUCUUUCCACUUUCUAUUAUUAAAUGGCAGUUUUUGAAUACUUAGUUAUCUUAUCUCUUCAGGAAAGUGCAAUUGUCCUUGCUAAACUCUUGCUUCCACAAAUAUUUGAGAAAAUGCCAAUGCAAGAAAUCAGAGCUCUUGUUGCUGAGAAGUCAACAAUGAGUACCUAUAUUAGAGGAGAAAGUAUUGAACUACCUCCCCAUUUCAUGGGCUUGUUAUUAGAAGGAUAUAUAAAAGGACAAGGGACCCAGGAGGAACUGAUAGCAUCUCCAGCAGCACUGUUGCCUUGGUAUGGUGAUAUGAGCUUCCGGGGAUCAGAUGUAUCAGGUAAAGCAUCUAGUAAGAUGUUUGACCAAUCCAUUAGUAUGUUACUGCAUUUGAUCAAGUACUUUCUUAAUGAACAGUGGAAAGAAAUGUUAUGAGAAAACCUCAUGGUUUAUAAUAAUCAGUUUUUAGGGAAAAAGUUUAUUUACAUUUUUUUAUUAAUUGAAGUUAAAGUUGUGGCAUUUAGAUGUGAGCUCUUUGUUUGAUUUCCUAAUCAAAUCUGAUUUUGAUAGGCAUCAAGUCCACCAGCUUUGUGCAUCAAGCAUCUUGUUAUCAAGUGGAGACCAGAGCAAGAGUUAUCAUGCUUGAUUUUGCUGCUUUUGAAGCUAACAGAUCCCUUCAGAGAAGGUCGUCUUCUUUGGUUUCACAUACAAAAGAUCAUCCCACUAGAUCCUUAAGUAAAGAACAUUGUGGUCUCAUGAGUUGGCCCGAACAGUUUUACAUGCAAACACAACCUAGUGAGCAUCGUAUAGAAGAGACUGACAAAAUUGGUAGCAAUCUAUCUGUCAGGGCAAUGCAGCUAAGCAUGUAUGGCAGCAUGGUAUGUAUGAUAAUAUCACUAUAUGAACUGUUUGUUUAAAUAGUUGUUUGUGUUUAUUCAACUUAUUUAGUUGUUUGUGUUUAUACAACUUGUAUACAUGAUUUUUUACAUUUGCUGGUCUAUAGUACUUGUAUGAGUAAUUACCAUGUCUCUUGCAAGACUUGAAUUCCUACAAUCAUUAAAGAAAAGAAAUGCCAAGUACAGGACUAAAGCCCUUUGUGUUGGUUGGGAAAGCGUAUGGGUCGUUUAUCUCAACUUUGUGUAAGUGUUUGUACAUCAGACGUAAAGAGACUUCUGAAUACACCAAUUCCUUGGUCCCAAAUUGAAACAAAUUUGGAGUUUGUUAUACAUUCUAAACUCUUUUCAUAUGCGUCUGUUUUCACCUUUUUGCUUGCUACUUUCAACUAACUUUGUCUGUCUUGACUUCCUAGAUUGACAACACCAGACUACAUGCACAGAGUUCUCGUGGAAAUAAUGAGAAGUCGUCUCACAGCUUGUCAUAUCCAAGAGUUUUAUCACCUGAAGGGCAGCCUCUUGUCUAUGCCAAGUCAGAAGGGGCUGCUACUUUUGGGAAAAUGCCCACUACUGCUACGUCGGGGAAGGUACCUGAUGGUAAAACUCCAGUACCGAGUUCUAGCACAACAAAAACUCAUGGAAUGGAUUACUCAAGCGACGAAUCUGGCACUGAGGAUGAACAUAUUGUUAGAAUUGAUUCACCAAGUACAUUAUCUUUUCCGCAGGUUCAGUAGUCUAAUUUUUGGCGUUCUCAUGUACAUGUGUUCACUAGAGUAGACAGCAUAUAUAUAGAAUAAGUAUCCUAGUGAAAAAAAAAAAUGUAAUAUAAGGCGAGUACGGGAUUGUAACAUCAUGAAUGUUACUUUGUUUUGUUUUGGGAUAUUCUCAGUAUCAUCAUUUGCACAACCGAUUUUUGUAACUGAUACCACUUAUUUUUACUCAUGGUACUCUUAUACUUGUGCUAAUAAAAGGUCAGAGAAAUCUUAAAAAGUUUCUAAACAACUUUAUCGUAUUUUAGCUAAUAAACUAUUGGGGUGUUGGCCUCGCAUCACUAUUUAGCAGCAAAAGGUUAUUGUUGUCAUUUUCUGAAAAAAUGCCCCCAAACGUAACUUCAAAACGUAACUUAUACAACUUGAAGUCGUAUUUUUCUUAGAAAAAUCAAAACUCAACUAUGUAAAGUUGCAUCUGAUUGCGGAUCAUAUUUUUACAAAUAUUUUCAAAAGAUAGUAAAAUCGCAAUUUUUUUAGAAAAAGUGGUAAUUUUGAUGAAUUUCCAAUUAUUUAUUUAUAUUUUUGGAAUAUAUAAUUAUAAUGAUAUUUAUAUCAAAAUAGUCAUCAAUUAAAUAUUUAUUAAGAUUUAUUUAUUGAUGUAUUUUUGAAAUAUAUAUUAUAAAGGUAUUAAUAAUAAAAUAGUCAUUCAUAACACUUAAGCGUGUCACGUGACUCGCUGUCGUAAAUUUACUAAAUUUUCACUAAAAUUUUAUGAUAAAAUUGCGGGAUAAAAUUUUUCAAUAGUUGAAAGUAUAUUAUUACUAAUAAAAAAGUUAAGUUCCUUGAAUCCUCAUCUUAGUGAAGUCUUGGAGUCGUCAUUCUUCAAAAUUAGAUAAAAUAUAAUCUGGUGAUUUCAAAUUUAAUUUUUUUUAUUUUAUAAUAUUUUUAAACAUCCAACAAGUUCAAGAUUAUAUUUUACAGCGUAAUCGAUAUGCAUAACAAUUGCUCUUAUAAAUUGCAGGACGCUAUAUUCUAUAAUAUGUUUAAUAUGUCGUGUGAUUUAUAAAAUUAAUUAUCAUACAUGUUGAUUAUGUUGUAGAACAAAAUAUUUAACAUGUCGAAUGUUUAAAAAUAUUACAGAAUAAAAAAAUUUAAAUUGAAAUCAAUAAAUUAUAUUUUAUCUGAUUUUGAAGAAGAAGUUGUUCAAGACUUCAGUGAAAUGAGUACUUUCAUAAAACUUUACUCUAAAAAUAAAUGACAAAUUAUAUGUUAUGAAAACCAAAUUAACCACUAAAUCAAUUUGAAGAAAAAGAAAAUUCUCUUGUUUCUUAUUUUGAUGGAGACGAACACACUCUAGAGUCACACACUCUACAUCUUCAAACUGAGUGCAAGUAGUGGAGUAUUUCUGGAAGGCGAAAAUGUCGGGGAAAGAGAGUGAAACAGCCAUAUUAUUCGUGGGAAUAUCUCUGUUGUUAGGAAUCGCGUCACGUCAAUUACUUAAAGGAACCAGGGUUCCGUACACCGUUGCGCUUCUUAUUAUUGGGAUCGCUCUCGGCUCCAUUGGUAUAUAUACUUUUACUUUAUCUUCUUUUUCCAUGCAUUUUGAGGGGUGUAUUCGAUUGGGAUUUUAAUGGAUUGUUUUAGGUCUAUGGAUUUUAAUGGAUUGUGUCUGAUUUUGAUUUUGUGCGGAUUCUUGAUAAAAUGUCGCAGAGUUGAUAGGAUUUAAGCACAAUGCUUCAAAAUCCCUUUGCUUUUGAUGGGAUUUCAAAAAACUUAAAAUACACUGAAGAAUGCCACAAAAUCCAUCAUUUUAUGAAAUGCAAAAAAAUCCAUCUGCAUUUGAAUACCAUCAGAUUUUAAUGGAUUUUAAACAAUUUCAAUUGAAUACCAUCGGAUUGUAAAGCAUAAUUUAAAAUCUCAAUUGAAUACCACCAGAUUUUGUAGCAUAAUUUGAAAUCCCAAUUGAAUACCUCAAGAUUUUAUUGGAUUUCAAACAAUUCCAAUCGAAUACUCUCGGAUUUCAUAAAUGCAAAAAAAUGCUUUAAAAUCCCAAUCCAAUACACCCCUCUUAACUACUCGACUUUCGGUCGUGCGUGUUUGGUUCAGUGUUGAAAUCAAUAUAAUUAUUACUCACUCCCUCCGUUCCUCUGAUUUCUAUGCACUUUCGUUUUCUGUCUCAUUCAAUUCUAUACAUUUCAAAACUUUCCUAAAAUAGUAAACUUUUAUAAUAUAAUAAUCCCACUCACCUACUACUUCCAUCUACUUUUUCAAAUCUAUGCAUGGGUCCCACCACUUUAACUACUUUUCUUUCUCUUUACUUUAAACUACUUUAUACACUUUUCUUAGUCUCCGUGUCCAAACUACUUUAUACACUUUUCUUAGUCUCCGUGUCCAUUCCAAACGUAUAAUUCCAGAGGGACGGAGGAAGUAAUUUUUUGUUAUUAGUGAUAGUUUGGUUGUUUAUAUUAUUUUAAUAUUAUAAUUAGAAAUGUCAGUCAUGAAGAAUAAAUGGUGUUGGACCCGGAGAAAAAAAAAUGUAGCAAGUAGCAUGAAUGUACAAAAAUGUAUAAUGUGGGGGUGGGGUAUUCGGGGGCUGUGGAAGGAAUGAUUCGCCUAUCAUGAGAGAAUGGGGUUCUCAUUUCAUGCAACAAAAUUACUAAUAUAACACCAAGACAUGGGUACAAGGUUCCGAUUCGCGUUAAUUGGACUUAUUAAUUAUGAACCACACACCCCUUAAUUGAUAGAUUAGGAAAAGUGAAUGAAAGUAGUGGAUGUGAGUAGUAAUCAUAUUAUAAAAGUUUUGAAAUAUUUAAGAAUUGAGAGGAACAUCCCAGAAUGGAUGGGAAUGAGUGAGUAAUAUUUUAAUUGAUAUCCAUACCUUUCAGUCACACACCUCCUCCUUGGUUUUAAAAAAGGGUUUCAGGUAAAUGAAUUAUUUAGUGCUUGUUUGGUUGCAGUCAGUGUUAUCGAAAGCAUUAAGCGCAUCGAGGCGCAAAACUCUCUAGAGCCUAGGCGCAAAGCGCAAAAGCGAGGCGCGCGCUUCUUUGAAGCUAGGCGCAUGUUUUACAAAUUUUUUUAUUUAUUAUUUAGAAUAUAUGUAUAUAGGUUUAUAACAUAAUUUAUACUUCAUAAUAUAUUAAAUCACACUUUAAGCCAAAAAUAACUUAAUGUAUCCUUUAUAAUAUAUUAAAUAAUACUUUUAGAGGGAAAAACAAUCCUAAAACUAAAUAUUAAAAUUCAAAAUUUAUGUUUCAUAGGCAAAAUUCCAGGCUAGUACUUUUUUUUUGGCCUAAAAUUCUCUUUUUUGUUAUGGGUUAGUACUUUUGGGCCUUAAAAGUGACCCAAAAUUCUUUUUUUUGUUAUGGCUUAGUACUUUUGGGCCUUAAAAGUGGCCCAAUAACAUUAAAUAUCUUAUUAUGCGCUCAGCUUCGCUAAAGCGCGCUUUUCUACCGCUUCGUGCUUAAGCGCGCUUUGUGCUUCAAGGCUAAAAGCGUGCGCUUCAUUGAAGUUGCUUCGCCUCGACAUAUAUGAGGCGCUAAGGGUGCGCUUUGCUUCGCUUUGCGCCUAGGCGCUCGCCUAGGCGCGCUUUUCACAACACUGGUUGCAGUAGUUUCCUGGUAAUUAAAAUUCCUAAAAUCCGUAGGAAGUGAAUAAAAUUGUUUGGUUGUUAUAUAGGAAUUUAAAACUAUAGGAAUUUCUAAUGACCAAGGGUGGGGUGGGUUAAUAACUUCCUACGAAUCAAUAGGUAUUCAUACUUCCAUGGAAGUUGCUCUUCCCUUACUUUUGUCAACCAAACAACUUCAUUUGUAGCUACUCUCCAGGAAGUUGAAAUUCCUAGGUCUUGGAGAGGAAACCAAGCGAGCACUUAGUUUGGUGAUUUUAUAAGGUGGUGUUUGGUAAUGUUUUUUAAGCAUGUUCUCUACUUUUUAAAAUUGUUUUUAAGAGGUCGUUUGGUUCGCGGAUUAGAAUGAGGAUUCGGGUUAAGGUGGUACGAGGUUCAAUUAUCAUUCCUGAUAUCAUGUGCUUGGUUAAAUGUGUUUGGUUAAGUGCUGAAAUCAAUAUGUUUUUGUUAAAAUAUCUUUUAGUCAUUAUUUUUAAUUAAUUCUAGAGGAAUAACAAUCUUGAGGUGUGCUUUUAAGCUUUGAAGGAGAUAGAAUAAAAGAAGAGGACAUGUCUAUGAAACCAAUCAUCCCCAAUGUAGGAAAAUUUGAAGAGAAGGUAGAGCAGACAUACAAAGCUCGAUUAAAUACCUUUCUACCACUUUGUAUCACAUAUUUAUCUCAACUUUUUUAUUCAGUUCCUCUAUAACUCAUGGACGCACUUAAAGGAAUUUGUUGAGCGGAUUAGAAUUAAAUAUAUUUGAUCUAGUUAAGUCACUCUUAUGAUAUCCUAAUCUUUGGGAAAGUUGGCGAGUUGAAAUGGUGUUAAAGUGAAAGAAGAAGGUCAUAUUAUAUUAUAGAGAUGAUCUAUACUUAAUAUCUUGCCAAGAUAAACUGUUUCACGUUGUCUUGCUUUAAAGUUCUUUUUAAUUUUGCUAAUUUGAUUAAAGUAUAUCUGUAAAAGUUAUGCAAAGACAUGUGAUUGAGCUUCUUCUGGUAUGAAUGAAACUAACAAAUUUAUGCAUAUGAUCUUGUAUUAUUCUGUAAAUUGACUUUAGGCAAUAACUUUAUGUGUUGUGGAUAUUAUAUUUGAAUAAAUUUAUACGCAGAAUAUGGUACACAUCAUCAUUUGGGAAAGAUUGGAGAUGGCAUCCGACUUUGUAAGUUAAAUCUCACCUUAGAUAAACUUAUACCUGUGUCACUAUAUGAAAGUUGCGUCUUGAUGCUUACAUCAUUCACUAGAAAUAGUGAAAUACUGUUUUUAGAAGUACAAAUAUUUGACUUGCCUAAGGUUAUAAAACUAGCUGCUGUCUUAAUAUUAUCAAUCUUCAGGGGCAAAUAUUGAUCCUGACCUUCUGCUAGCUGUUUUUCUACCUGGUCUUCUUUUCGAGAGUUCAUUUUCGAUGGAGGUGCACCAAAUAAAGGUUACUUCUCUUUACCAUAUGUCUAUUUAUUUAUAGUAUACUUUCAUCUGUUUGUAUAUUCUUAUAGCUGAGCACAUGUGGCACAGUAGAAAAGAAGAUAAUUUCUUUUCAUUUAUUAGAAUAUAAUAAUUGGUGAUCAAGUAUAAACAAAAAAAGCAUUUAUUUGCUUCCAAUACUUGCAUAACUACUUUGUUACUUGUCAAAUGUCAUGUUGUUUCCUGAAGCAAGUCUGCAGAUGUGAUAUAAGAUGCUAAUUUUUUGGCCUGCUGUAAGUGUAUCAUUCAAUUGACAACAUCAUGAGCCAUGGGAAAGACAUUUCUAAAACUUGGGAAUAGAUUGACGUUUGAUUAACCAUAAAUGUCUCGGGAAUUUAGACUGAUUUAGCUCUUUUAUUGAAUGUAAUGCAAUUAAAUGUGUCAUUUCCCAGAAGGCCUGUUCUGUUAGAACUUGGAAAAUCCCUAGGUGUCACCUCUAAUGAUGUGUCUCUCUGGCGAGUUAGUUCAUUUAGUCAGUGCCUUGACUUCUUACAGCUCUAAUAAGUGUCACAAAUUUUAUUGGUCAGCCAGCACAUUCAGAUUAUUUUCUUUUGACCAUCACCUAUAUUGCAAUGGUAUGUUAGUUGUCACUCCUUGUCCCCCUGUGAUUAGGCAUCUUAAAAAAUGAUUUUCUGUAAGCUUACUUAUGCACUGGGUUAAAUUGUUAGAUUGAGUCCAUUUAUAUUGAUUAAUGGUAUCAUUUUCAGUGAAUGAGUUAAUCACAUCCUCUCUGCUUUCUAGAAAUGUAUGGCACAAAUGCUUCUACUUGCUGGGCCUGGUGUAAUAUUGUCAACCUUCCUCCUUGGAGCUGCCCUAAAGGUUUGCUGAAUUUUGGCAUAUACAAUGCAUCUCUUCAUUACUUGCUGAUAUAGUAAAUAUUGCUGCAGCUAAUAUUUCCCUAUAACUGGAGUUGGACGACCUCAUUGUUGCUUGGAGCACUACUAGGUGCUACUGAUCCUGUUGCUGUUGUGGCCCAUUUAAAGGAGCUUGGUGCAAGUAAAAAACUGAGUACUAUAAUUGAAGGAGAAUCAGUGAUGAAUGACGGGUAUCAAACCUACUUGUCCGCGCUUAUCUAUUUUGUUUUUGUAGAUAUCUUUUGUUUUACCUGUUGGUUGACGAAAGUUGUGUGUUGCCAAUAAGGCAACAUGAUAACAAAAAUUAUGCACUAAACAUCAUGUUGCUAUGAUUUAUUUUAUUCUUUGGUGUAAUGGUCAUUUGAAUCACCUUUUCCAUAACAUAUCUGCAUAUACUUUAGCAAGCAUAUCUGUUUUCACCUUCAGAAUUGCAAUUGUGAUCUUCCAACUAUUUUUUCGAAUGGCCACGGGAUCAGGCAUGAAGUGGGCUGCUCUUGUAAAAUUUUUGGCACAAGUUUCUCUUGGAGCGUAGGUAUACUUGCUCUUAGUCAACAUUAAAAACAUAUAAACUUGUUCUAAUUCAAUUAUUUUUUGUUCAGUGUAGGCAUCGGUAUUGCAUUUGGGUUGGCAUCUGUUUUGUGGCUUAAAUUUGUAUUCAAUGACACGGUGAUAGAGAUUACACUAACACUUGCUAUGAGCUACAUUGCUUACUUCACUGUAUGUAACGCUCAACCAAUAAAUUAAUACAUUGAUCAUAUCAUAAAAGCAUUCAUGCUUGUCAACCUGAAUAUGUUUUCUUUUAGACUUACUAUUCUGUCACUGAUCCCGCAAUCAAGUGCACUAGUUCAAACAAAUAUAAUUUGAAGAACUAGGUAACCAUAGGUUCCUUAAACGUUUUUACUUUAAUGUAGCAGAGAUAAAACAUCGGUUAAUGACGGGGCUGUUGGUAUGGAUUACUGAGCUGAAUCGAUAUUCCUUGUAUUCCUAAAGUAUAGGUGACUUAUAAUUCAGCUGAGUUGCUACUUGUGUCAUUAUGUUUCUUCAUCAAACCUGUGACUUUUAUUUGCUCGUUAAUUCCAUUAAGAUUAAAGAUUAUACUUAUCUUCGAGAGUAUAGUGUUUAGAUGCGACAUUAGCUCAAAUUAUAUGUAGUCUUCUCCUUGUUUUUCAUUAAUUUAUCUUCAGUUUUUCUUAUUAAACGUAUAAAAUACUUGGGAUACUUAAGCCCGUGAUUGAGCCCAUGCACCCUUGUAGCAGUUGCAAAUCUAUUAUCGAAAGAAAAAGCAUCAGUUUUGGACAAUCAAAUUUGUCAAACAUUUAUCGUACCAUCCUGUGAUUUCUGGAAUAUGAAAGAAGGCCUGUAACUAGUGGUUGAAGGAAGCUUUUAAAGAUAGUACACUGUCCUGUAUCUUUUGAAGACCUAUCUAGAUCUGUAGCAUACUGCAUAUAUUAUAAUGUGUGUAUACUAAACUAUAGCUUCUCUAAGAUAUUAUCGGGUGCAUAGGUGUGGUAAAGCUAUGGGGACUUAGCUAUGGCAUUUAUUUUACUUUUCUCAGUGAGUAAUUUUUUUUAGGAAACUAGAUGAUUGAGUUGGAUUUUUACUUUGUUUCCUUCAUGCGAAAACUUAACAUCAGCUCUUAUAUAAUAGGCUCAAGAGUGGCUUGAUGUUUCUGGUGUCUUGACAGUUAUGACGUUGGGAAUGUAAGCCAGCAUUUCACCAAGUUUCGGUAGGGUGUAAUUAAAUUCAUAUUUUAAAAGCAUCAUUUAUGCUCAGGUUCUAUGCUGCAGUCGCUAGGACCGCAUUUACGGGUGAUGGUCAACAAAGCUUGCAUCAUUUUUGGUACCACUCUUUGAUGUUUAAAUUAUCUAGCUCUUGACCAUAGUGAUAGUAGGACACCAGUACACCCACAUGGCCACAUAUAAAUAUAAACUAAAUUAAUCUUCUACUGGUAGAUUUUAUAAUCUGUUCCUCCUAAUAUACCCGUGUUUGCACAAAUAUUGAGGAGUACAAAACUGGGUUCCAAAUGCAUAUACUUUGCUAAUAUUUUGCGACAUGUUUAAGUAGCUAUGUCUGAUGAAUUACUCAGGUGCAGAGGCAGUAAUAAAAUGGCAAAAUGGAUUUUUUUGUCACUCAACUUAUUGUGUCUUUGGAAACUUACCACUUAACUAUAAUUUUUUUUAUUUUACUCACUAAUGUUAGGUUCAGUUUUUUUUUUUUGUCACUGAAGCUAGGUUCGGACUUAAUUAUUAGCAUUAUAUUAAUUCUUUUUAGCAUUAUUAAAUUAUAGUGGUAGUUUGUAAUAUAUUGAUGAUUUGAUAUAUGUCUAUAUGUUUAUAUGUAGUACUUUUUAUGUCCCCAAGGUCGUUUACCUUGGGUGAUAAGAGUUUGACACGCAUUAUUUUACUGCUUUUAAAAGAUGUAGUUUCAUAAAUUAUUUUAUUUUUUUCUUCCGAAUAAAAAUUUAGCAUUUGAAUUUUUGUACACAGAAAGAAAAUCUCAAAAAUAAGCUAUGAAUUUAUGUUUUAUAAAAGUCUUAAAGUACGUGCUAAGUAGUAGAAAAAACUGUAAACAAAUGAGGGACGGAGGGAGUAAUAAUAACAUAAAAUGAUGCAUUAUAAAGGACAAUCAUCGGACCUCUCUAUUUAUUUAUCUUUAUCUUGAAAAUUGUAAUAAGAUAAACUUAUUAAAAUUUAUGAAGAUAAAUUUAAGAGAGGCCUUAGGCUGAACUAGUCGAUUGAAACGUUAAUAGUGAAAGAUGAUGCAUCGAAUCACUCAAUUAGACUUUAUCAGGAAGGAUGAAUUGUUUGAAGUCAUUGAUUCCAUAUUGACGAUUUAAUGAAUUUAUAGAAUUCUAAUUACGAUUGUUCCUGAUUUUAAUUUUUUAUCGGCUCAUUUAAUGUUAUUAUUGCUAUAUAUAAAGAUAUAAACAUAUGUCACAUCAUCGAAAUAUUACAUACUAUCACUAUGUAUUAGUGAUGCUACAAAAAAUAUCACAAUACUAGUAAUCAAAUCCGAACCUAAGUUAGUGACUAAAAAAAAUCCAAACCUGACAUUAAUGAGUAAAAGGAAAAAAAAAAUAGUUGAGUGGUAAGUUUCUAAAGACACAGUAAGUUGGGUGACAAAAAAAUCUAUUUUCCCUAAUAAAAUUUCUAUUCAUUUAUUUUAUUUACAAGAUCUUGAAUGAAAAAGGAACGUAUUUAGUUCUUCAUGGACAUUGAACACCAAAAUCUAGGAUAUAGUUAUUUUCACUUUAACUUUAAUCAUGGAAAUUAUGAUUUUCAACCUUAUGUAGCUUGGAAAUUAGCUUGAAGCGGAGAUGUCAGAACACCAAUUUUUAUAUGCUUCGUUAAACUAAGAACAUAGUACUUUAUGUUCUAUCAGAUAAUACUAGGCUAGUAUUGAAUCCUACAACUUGACUUUUGCCCUAUAUUAUAUCUAUCAAGUUUACCCAAGUCUGAUUACAUUCUUUGACAAUUACUAAUUGUAAUCGCUCACAUAAAUAAUAAUUAGUACUAUAUAGUAGUAUGUUGCAAUUAAACACAUUCUUUUUCUGGUUUCUCAAACCGGGCCUGGUGUUCAGUCUAGUUGGCUGCAAUUGCAUCUGGUAUGCUAUAUGGUUACACUUCAAAUAACCUAUUAUCUUUAGUACAGAACCAUUAAGCUGUUGAAGGAUGUAAAACGGGAUGUGAUGCAUCUCAGGCACUUCCUUGAAGGGAUUAUUACUUAUUUAAUUUCAUAUAUUAUUCUUUCAAGGCAACACAUAACUGGUUACUCCAGUGUUUAUUGAAAAUAAAGAAAUUCUCAAUACAGUUGGCAUAAUAUAGUAGAAGUAUCUUCUUUAACCUCUUCAAUGUUAUUGUACUUGCCUUUUUUCGAAGGUUCUUUUCGUAAAUGCUUAAGCGUGUCAUCUCCAUUUCUAAGAAAUUCAAUCUAACUAUACUAAAUAUUUUUCUGCUACUGUUUUCAGGGAAAUGGUUGCUUAUAUUGCCAAUACAUUGAUUUUCAUUUUAAGGUAUAGUUCUUAGAUGUUACAUUUGUCAUAUACUAAUAAAUUUUAUCAAGGUGGUAAUGAUUCUGAUCAAUGCACUGCACAUAUACUAAUAUAUUUAUGAAGGUAGUAAAGUUUCGGGUCCAUGCAUUGCAUGCAACAAUCAUGUCACAUAUGAUAAUAAGACAUUCCCUCUUCUGCUUCUUCUCCGCUCUCCAUCUUAUAUAUUAUUAUAUGUAGUUAAAUUUUUUAGUACUAAAUAUCCAUUCAGAUUCUAGGUAAAAUAGUGAAGCACCAUCCACAGCCUUUCUCCACAAUUUGGAUAUUUAAUGAUUUGGUCCAGAUAGAGGGAAAUUAUUUUGUCCUAUAUUAUAAGUUUACAAUGUUAUUUACCCACAAAUAUGGAGGUACUUGAGAAGGUCUAUAUGUCCCAAAUAAUUGUGUAUCGUGAAGACUUAAGAUAUUAAUGAAGUAUUAAUGAAAGUGACGAGCACAGUAUUAAACACUGGUCUAUUUUAGCUACGCACAACCUUCGAUUCUUAAUGAAUGAAGAACUUGAGCUAUCAAUGACAUGUGAUAUAAUUAUAAACACAUUUCUUUCUUACACUCCUUCGCCCAGAAAAUAUAACAAUCAGUUCCCUCCCGAGUCAUGACGCACAUUAAAGUAAUACAGUUUGAUGGUAAAAUUGUGUUAAUAUCCUUGUUUUACAAUUGCCACGUGUCUUCAUUUUUUAAUUUUUUUAAAUCGUUUGUUUUCGCAACACAAUAAAAUAGUAUGCAUUUAUGUCAUCAAUGUAACAUCUUUUAUUUGAUGUUUGCUAAAGGGUCAAUUUUUUAGCAUAUUAGCUAGAGUCAUCUAAUAUUAUAUAUUGUGUAUAAAAUAUAUCUUCAAGACUUUUCUUAUUAUCUUUGCAGUGGGGUUGUUAUAGCUGAAAGUGUUCUCGGAAACACCACUACCUUUAAAAGCCAUGGUACGCUUUGUCUUUUAUAUAUCUUCCCUCAUGCAUCAUGUAUAACUAUAGGUACAUAGUACUCCCUCCGUCCCGAUCAAUAGUAUACAUUGGGGGACGGGGGCGCGGCACGGACUUUAAUGCUUCAAUGUAGUAUAGUUCUGUAAAUUAUUUUUAAGAUUUUCUUUUUUUGUAUAAAAGUAUAACAUUUAUACUUUUAUACAAAAAAAGAAAAUCUUAAAAAUAAGUUGUAGAACUAUGUUUUAUAAGAGCCUUAAAAAGCGUGUCGAGCAGUGAAAAAGAAACGUAUACAAUUGACUGGGACAGAGGGAGUACAUGUUUUUAUUUAAAGUUGCAAAUAGAGAUGUUUACCUUAAGCGCCGCUGAAAUAUAUCUUUUCUUGACACCAAGCACAAAUAAGAUAGUUUUUAGGUAACCCAUUUGAAUGAACAUGCAAAAUAUCACUAUAAAGUUGUAGCAUAGGUUUUAUUCAAAAACUUAACAUCGCUCAUUGCCCUUGAUAAAUGUCUUUUUACAAAUUUGAUUAUAUAAUCAAAAGUUGUGUUGACAUAUUGUAAUGCUAAUUUUGUCUUUGGUUAGAGCAAAUGAUUUUGGGAAUAGGGGAUGGAAAUAUGAUCCUAGCAAGCCCUCCUCCCAAAACCUCAAAGUUUUAGGAGAACUAGUCAGUUAACAUGAUAUUAGAGCUUAAGUUUGUGGAGGUAUCAAGUAUGACUCUUUAUCACGCCCAAUAUUCUCACAAUAUAAUAUGGACACGAAGGCAUUAAUUGGCCCAAAAAUGGGCAUUAAUGGGAAUGUUGAAAUAUAGCGUAAGAUCCAUUUGGGCCUUUCUUCAACAUCUUAAGGUUUUAGAUGGACUAGUUCUCAACAUGGUUUCAGAGCUGAAUUCACAAUAUAAUAUGGACACGAAAGCAUUAAUUGUCCCAUAAAUAGGCGCCCGUGAUCCACUCUUCAACCCGGCAAGAAACCGAACUGGUUCUCAACGUCUCGCACACCUCUGCUUCUCUAUGCACCCUACAUCCCAUAACUCUCUUCCAAAGUUUUAUUGCCUUUGUUUGUUAUAAGUUGGCACAAGUAUGCUAAGUUCCCACUCCUUUGACAUCAUGGUGGUACUAAUAAUGGUGUUAAAGCGGGCCAAUAUCCCUAGUCGUUUCCAUCCUCCGAAAAGCUCCUUUCUCUCCCUCCCUACUCCUUACCGAUAAAUCUAAUAGAAUAAAGUUCUGCGAAACAUAUCAGACUUCUCCUCACUGAUAAAACUAAUAGUCCUGCAAUCAUGUGAAACAUGCCAACCUUCUCCUCGCUUCAAUAUUUACUCAAGCUCUUACUAAUUUGAAAAUUAAUUUCUCCUUCUGCGUGGUGUCUAGAUGCUUGUACCUAUUUUUGCUGCCCAUCUCUUGCUCUUGUACAAUUCUUUCUUCAUUUCUUCUCUUUUUCCUACUUUGUUCCCCUCUCUCAACCAAUAUUUAUAUUAUUAAAACCACGAAUCCUCCUUUCAAUUUCAAAAACUUCCAGAUAUUACCCUAAAGUACCAUUAGCCACAUUCCUAAUUAUAAUUGUUUUAAUAUUCACACUCAUGUAGGGGUGGUAAUUUCGGGUUUGGGAUUGGGUUCGUGUUUGUUAACGGGUCAAUUUUGGUCUAGCAAAAAUCAGUAACAAUUGGAUGGAAUUGAAUAGCUAUGUGUAAACAAAUAACGGGUCAUUUCCGGGUUUUGUCUCAGUAAAUCGUGUUGUGAAUGUUUGGGAUUCUUUUAUAACUUAAAAUUUAAAUAAGAGGGUAAUAAAGUUUUACAUCAUAUUAUUUUGUAUUUACAUAUCUGCCCUUCUAUAACAAUUUGUAAAUGUGGCACGUCUGAUGUGCUACUAGAUAUGCAACAAAAGAUUCAUGCUGCCAGCAAAUAGCUUGAAAAAUAAAUGCCGCCAGCUACUAGCCUGAAAUAUUAAAAUAAUGACCUCUCAGCUGAUGAGCUGCAUGGAUUAACAAAAUAAAUUUCGACACCAUAAAUGCAACAGAAUAACUUAUUAAUGCACAUUAAAAAGGCCAGAACCCAUUUUCUUCCCACUGCUUGGCAAUUUUGAAGCAUUUUGUCUGCAGAGUCCUGUCUAAUCAUUGCAUUUCCUGUAAUCCGCAUUUCAUGUUUAUGGGUCACUUUUUUUUUGACGUAGUAAAGAGCUCAAUAGGCCAUUAAGAGGCGUUCUAGAACAUAUUAUUCAAGUAGACGCUUAAUCAGACCCCUCCGAUCUAUGUCUCCUAAGAGCUUGAGGAAAAAAACAGUGUAGAGGUCUCCUAUUGCACAAGAGGGCACCUUAUAAAUCUAAGUGGCAAAAGUGCCUGAGAGAGAAAAAAAACAUGGGAGAGGCUUCCUAUCGUGUGAUAGGUAAAAGUAUCUAAAUGGGGACUGCUAGGACAACGCUAUCACUAGCAUAGUUUUAUUACCUUUACACUCGUCAAGAUGUGGCUGAUCCUUUAACUAUUAAGGAUUAAGAAAAUGGUAUGAGUUGUAUGACACGGACGGAAACUGUGCAGAUGAUUUUUUAGUUCCGUUGGAAGAUAAAGUUUGCAUGCGGAAGCAUUGCAAGAUGUCCAUUUAAUAGAGUUUCAGAACAUUAAAGCUAUACACUUUAAGGCUGAAGUUGACAUUCUAUUGGUACUGAAGUUCAAUAAAAAAGAAUCUAAGUACACUUAUUUAAAUAUGAUAUUUCUCAAAAUAGAACCACCGUGUCUCUUGAUUAACCUUAUAUAUUGGAAGAUUUUAAGAUAACGGUGUUCCUUGAGCCAUAUUAGUGUUCUUUGUUCGAUAAAUGACUUUUUGUCCUACAAACUUACAUAUAGUUCUUUUAACUUAGAUUGGUUGUUUCAGAAUAUUCUUGGGGCUACCUCAUUCUCCUCUAUGUUUUUGUUCAAAUCUCACGAAUUGCGAUGGUUGCUGUAUUGUAUCCUUGUUUAAGAUAUUUUGGUUAUGGUUUGGAUUGGAGAGAAGCUACUGUCCUUGUAUGGUCUGGUUUGAGAGGAGCUGUAUCACUUUCGCUUUCGCUGUCAGUUAAGGCAAGUAUUGCUCAUGUAUUCCCACUUUUCAUGAAAUCUUAGAUAUAUCAAGAGAUUAGGGUUGAUUGAAAAAUAUAAGAAUUAUGAAUCCACAUACUAGCUAUUGCAAAAAAGUUAAAAAGAAUUCCAGAUUGCAGAUUCUGUUCUUGGAGAUUACUGCUUAUCUUAUAGAUAUUCUGGAUUAAUAUUAGUUAACAGGUGAUUUAGGAUUGUUAUUUAGGCAUCAUUCUAAUUGUUAGACUUUGAAUUGCAAUUGUACUUGCUCACGUGUAUCUAGGCCAACUCACAACCCGUGUGAUGGGCAGUUCUAUUAUUUUAUAAAAUUUAUUUGCUGUUCUUCUAACUCAAGAAACCACAUAAAGAUGUGUAUAUUUGCUGUAUUCUUUCAACUCAAGAAACCACACAAAUAUGUGUAUAAAGUUUCCUACAUUUUUGUUCAAGUAAAAAUAUAUAGUGUCCAGGUUUAAGACAUUAAGUGGUGUAGUUUAAACUAAUAUUUUAGUGAUCAUUUGAUUAACAAAUUUCAUAUGUACAGUUGUAAAAAAAUAAAUGUUAGAUUUAUUUUAUUAUUGUGGUUUUUAAGAAUGAUUUUUUUUAAUCUUUGAAUAUUUUUAUUUUUAAGAGUCGGACCAUAGACCCUUGGUAGUACUUUAGGAUAAGAUCCCUCUUGAUGCUUAUUAUGAGCAAUGCUACAUACCCCAGAAAAAUUUCUAAUUUUUUUCCUAAAUAAUGAGUUUAAUUGGCGGAUAUAUGUGCUUGGGGUGGGGGGAGGGGGGGGGGUCCCAUUAUUAAUAGUGGGACGCAAACCAAUCAAAAGUUGUCAACUAAGGUUUGGGAAUAUUUUGGAAAAAGGGUCUCUAGCAUUUUCUCCAUAAUGUAUACUACUUGGAACUGAGAUCAGAUCUCAAUUUCAAAAGAGCCCACUUAUCAGGACAAUUUCAUGGGAAGUUUUCAAAUCUAGUUCAGCAGUUGUACAAAUGUGAAUUCAUAUCAUAGCUAGGAAAGUGCUUCUGUUUUUUAAGGAUUAUUACUUUCAUGCAUGAAAUGUGCUUUAAAUUUUUGUUCUCUUACAAAGUUUGAUGCUGACAUUUAAACAUUUUGGGUGUUCCAGCGUUCUAGCGACAGUUCAUCAUAUAUAAGCCCUGAGACGGGAAUUUUGGUAUGUUUUGCUCUUAUACAUAUUAAACAAACUGUUAAACUCCAAGUCUUCUACCUGAAUUAUAUAUGCUUUUACCUUUAUGAUGAAGUUGGCAAUGCAAAAAUUUUAAUUUGGAAGGCACUUUACAGUUUACACACUUCAAUAUAUGUACCCAGUAACUGUUUGCAGCAUAUUCCAGUGAGUCGGUUAUUGUAAUCCACAAUUUCUUACUGCACACUCCUAACUUCUCUUUGUCUAAAAGGGUGUAAUUGAUCUCCUGUUGUCUUGUUCUUAAUUUUAUUUUGGGGGCUCUUCUAACUUCAUAUCUUUUCAUACGAGUAGUUCUUGUUUUGGUAAUUGUCCUACAGGUUAGCACAGAUAGUUUAUCCAAAAUUUAUUCCAUCUAAAUUAAUUCAUCCACCUUAAAUCAAUUCUUUCAACAAGAGAAAAUUUUUACGACAAAAAGGCAACUUGACAUUGUGUACCUCUGUUUCUUUAUCUAUAUUAGGUUUUCUUUCAGUAGAGUUGGAAUUUUAAGAAAUCUUGUCUGUGAAUCUGAUUCCACUGGUUUUGAUGUUUUAUAUGUACAUUUUCAAAAAAAUAUUUUAGGGUAAUGAAAUACUUGCAGUGCACAAGGUGUACACUUGGUUUACCCAUUGAUAAUGUUUAAAAAUAGAAAAUCACAAUGUUACAGCAAACAAGUCAAAAAAUUUCAGACAAGCUAGCUAUACAUACUCCAAAACAUUUUUUCAAACAGUUAGGUUGGCUAUUUCUUUUAUGGGCUUCAGAUAUUGCUGGCUGUGUCACCUUCUUAGACUUAUUGAAGCUAUAAAGUAUGUAUAUUGAAACAUUAAAUAAGUCCGGAGUGUCAAUUUUUGAGUUGCGCAGUGGCUGCAAACUGUUGCUUGGCAUAUUUCAUCGGUGCCAAGCUAAUCCUGUGUUGGGGCAGCAAAGAGUUUAUUUGCAUAAGUGUUCACUUGCUUCCUUCCACUACCUUAUAUAUUUUCAAUUUUUCACUUUGCAGUUUGUAUUUUUUACGGGAGGAAUCGUGUUUCUCACGCUCGUAUUGAAUGGAUCAACUACACAGUUUAUUUUACAAUUUCUGGAUCUGGACAAAUUGUCAGCAGCCAAGGUAAUGUGAUCAAUAGCCUACUCAGGCUUUAAACUGCAUCAGUCAAUUUUGUUAUCUCUAGGUCAUUUACGAGUGCCAUGUAAUACCAUAAACUGCUCGAAACCAGGGUGAAACUGUAGAUCAGUAGAAUGAGCGUCACAACUUUAAUAAUCAUCAAUAAGUAUAUUGUACCGAUAGCCAGUCUACUAUUGUAGCUGCUUAUUUGUAUAGUAAUUGGUUGUUAAGCCAGACUCAGAGAAAUUUUGUACACUAAAAGGUAAGCAGUUCUUUAUAAAUGGCUCAAUUGCUUUAUAUAGUUUUUCUUCUCUUGUGAAGAUAUUGCUUAAAAAUCUUAUUGCAAUGAAACAGAUAUCUCGUCUGUUUUAUCUUUCCAUGUUCUAAGUUCUUGUUAGUCUGUUCCUUUUCCAUUUUAUUGUUUAUACAUCACCACAACACACUCACAGUGUCAGAAUCAAUGCAAGAAGUGAAAAACUAACCAAUCCGAGCAAACAUUAGGUUACAUGUUCUUAUCAUAUCAAUAUUUUUUUUUUUCAAAUUAUGGAAGAACCAACGAACAGAACUGUCUGUGAGGCAUAAUGGUGAUUGUCUUCUAAUAAUGACCCGAGAAAGAUACACAGAAUAUCGUGGUUUAUCAUAUCACAACAUUAAAACUUACUAAUUUCGGUUUGGCUUUUGACCGUAAUUGUAGACAGCAACCUCUCAAGUCCCUGAGGAAUGCUAAGUUCUUAUAUUUUCAUGUCCUUGUUUUGUCGUUUGGAUAUAUUCUCUCUCAGCAGUUAGCUUUCUGUUUGACAUUUUGCAAUACUGUGGUUGGCACUUUAAUGAUUUACGAAUGUUUUCUUGUGGCAGAGGAGAAUACUGAACUACACAAAAUAUGAAAUGAUGAACAAAGCUCUAGAGGUAUUUGGUGAUUUUGGUGAUGACGAGGAACUAGGACCUGCUGACUGGCCUACAGUUAAAAAAUAUAUUGCUAGUUUAUCUGAUGUGGAAGGAGAAAAAACCCAUCCUCAUACACAGUCCGACAGUGAUGACAAGUUAGAUGUUAUGAACCUAGAAGAUAU
RNAcentral lists this long non-coding RNA (22822 nucleotides) under Daucus carota (carrot). RNAcentral describes it as "long non-coding RNA (DCAR_LNC006362)". The record is from RNAcentral. Lineage: Eukaryota; Viridiplantae; Streptophyta; Magnoliopsida; Apiales; Apiaceae.